Long non-coding RNA from Culex pipiens pallens (northern house mosquito), 1489 nucleotides. RefSeq lists it as uncharacterized. NCBI's taxonomy places the organism in Eukaryota, Metazoa, Arthropoda, Insecta, Diptera, Culicidae. The record is from RefSeq and is a predicted model, not a curated record. The transcript is spliced from 3 exons.
GAUCCAUCGUUGGUUAGAUAAUCGAGAGACCUUGUAACCUGCCUGCUGCAGUUUACCAUCGCAACAGUAGAAGUCUGCGAAUAACAAGAAGAGUGCCCUAAGCCAUCCCGAUCAGGGCAAAAUUUGAUCUUUUGUCUGCUAGAAUUUUUAUAAAACCACUACACUUACAACACAAACAAGAAGCCAAGAACCAUCAUCAUCAUCAUCGAUCGCGGCUUCCCAGCAGCCGAUCGAUGCUGAUUGCGCGUUGACUCUCGCGAGCGCGUAAUCUCCUAGCGAACUGCACGCACAUUUGGAACACAUGCACAUGAUAUUGGGCAAUUUUAAAAUCGAAGGCCGAUCAUUGAUUGAUUACCCUAGCACGUGAGCACAUUUAGCACAGACCUGUAAUCAUGUCUCAGGUAAAACCACAUUUACAUACCGGAUCAGCAUAAUCCAUGCCAGCACCAAACCAAUUUCCCGAGGGGGAAAUCAAGCCGAGCAGUUUGAGCCACCCUAGCGACGCCCCGGUACUCACUCUCCAAUCUCUUAUCGGCCGACGUCAACCAGAGCCGUGAGAGAUAACACGCGGCGCGAUCGGCCAACCAAUAUAGCCGAUCGUCGCCCGCAGAUCAUCAUCAGUCACUGGUUCAGCAUCAAAGAGACCGCCUCGAUCGUCGACCCGUCAAGUGUUCCGCCAGACGAUUGGCCAGCAGAAGUUUCGCUUAUUGUGUUUUCUUGUGGUGAAAACCGUCUCACCAGUGAUAAGGAUAUCGGCGUGGAAAAUUAACCGCACUGGAGUGCGAGGUGCCGCGAUACCGAAAAUUGGUCGCGGUGGAGAGGGAGGUGGCGUCUACUAUCAGCAUGGAAAGCAUGGCCAUGCUGGAGUAGUUGGAUAACUUGAGAUCGGUAAGAUUCAGCUGUGAAAUCGUCUCUAAAAUAAGUCCCAAAAUGUGCUUUUGAUCGUCGAAUGUGUUCUAAUUGUUCUGUCUGCCAUUGUGCAGGCCUUCAUUUCCUGUUUCACAAGCUGAAUUCCAUCAUGGCUGGAGCCGUGGUGUGGAGCAGUGCGCUGCUGUGCAUUCCUGCCGACUGGACGGCGGGGCUAAUGCACCGGAUGGCCGGCGUUCUCGCCGGUGACCAAGCUGGGUUCUGCCCGGGCAGCAACGUUGUUCCGGAUCGUCGAGGGAUACACGGGGGUCACACACACACACACACACACACAGGUUUACACCCGCAACUCUAGUUUUAAGGACGCCAACUAGGUUUAGUUCGCCAAUAUAGAUGUAAGUACGCUAAAAUCCCCUCUUUUAUUUCUGUGUAGGUUGAAUUUAUCCGUGUCUUGGGAGGGCUGGUUGAUUAUCUGGGAUUCUGUUGGAAUUCGACCCAUUUUUAUUGUUUGCUGUGUUCUUUUGCAUCUGUGCAGGAAAUGGUACUCCUGCUAUUCAAUAGUACUCCAUCUUGUCUCAUGCUCGCACUUUCCCCGGAAAUGGGGAGGUGACAACCUUUCCAA